This is a non-coding RNA of Podarcis lilfordi (Lilford's wall lizard), 6468 nucleotides long. Lineage: Eukaryota; Metazoa; Chordata; Lepidosauria; Squamata; Lacertidae. The record is from the annotation of a GenBank genome assembly.
CCUACAUACACCAAAUUAGUAGUAAUCCUGCAGGGACAACACUUUCUAGAGGCGGUUCCAGGAAAAGGUGGGCAUUUUGAAGGCCGGAUCCCUAAUGCAACUGUGGAGAAUUUGGGAGAGAUUUUGGACUACGGGGCUGUCAUUUAGCCCUGUGUAUCAUUGUUUUGUUUCCCCUCCAAUACAAACGCCCACAUUUAAACCAAAACAUUAUUUUGAAACAGCCAGCCAGGCUUGUGAUUGACUGUUUUGUGAGAACAGCUAGACACCAAAACCUGGCUCUCCUUGUUGCCAGGGUCAAAUAGCAGCUAACAUGACAGAACUUGUGUUGGGCUCCAUUCCUGGAAAUCUGCAACUAGUUUAUGGGUCAUAGUGCCAUGACCACAUCCUUGGCAUGGAUUUAGACUCUGUACCCAUGACUGCCUACUACAUCAGAUUAUGAUCUCCAAAUAUAUUGUAUGUAACAAAUCACUUUUAUUACUGUGAAGAGAAUAGUGUGGUAACAUGACAGCUUGUUUACCGUGACUCCUAAGGAGUAGAAGCCAGCAUGAUUCCUAGGUCAGAGAGUAUCACUCUUUAUGUUAGUAAAGAACUGUGAAUGAUUUGCUUUGAUAUUUUAUUUAUUAAGUUUAUCCUGCCUUUCUUCCAAUAAGCACAGGGGGUUCUGGGUUCUCCCUGCCUCAUGGCCAUUUUAUCCUCACUACAAAGUGAGGUAGACGAGGUUGAAAGAGAGCGAUCGGUCUAAGGUGACCCAGUGAGUUUCAUGGCCAAGUGGGGAUUUGAAUUUGGCUCUCCCCAAGCUGAGGGCAAUGUUUUCCCAAACUUGAGGAGAAAAUAUAAUCCUCAGUAUUUUGCUGUUUAUAUGGUUUUGAAAAUUAUGUAUACUGUAAAAUUUUUAACUCUUUGAAAUUGUCUUUUAUAAAGAGCUAAUUAGUGUAUUUAUAAUAUUUUGUUUGCGGCUUUUGUCUAUGUUUGUUGUAAACUGUUUUGAAUAUACUGUAUACAAAAAGCAGUGUACAAAUAAUGUGCCUGUGACUGACAAGAGUGAUUCUUAUGGGAUAGGGACAGCAUUUUCUUCAUCAAACAAGUGAAGCCAGGUGAGCAAAUUCCACCAAAAGAUGACUAAUUUGUUCCCCACAAGAGCAUUAUAAAAACCUUAUCUGGUGAAAGUGUCCUCUUCUGCGCCUAAUAUACAUCUAGUUGUAACAUUUUAAUUUGUGGGAUUCAUUAUCAUAUAUUUGUGAGAGUACAAGUUCUAACAUUUUUGUCAAAAUAUCCCUGGAGAUGUUCAUUUGAACAUCAUCUUUUGCUGUUGCUCUCAUGUUGUUUACAGGCUUCCCAUAGGCAUCUGCUUGGCUGCUGUAAAAACAGGAUGCUGGACUAGAUGAUCUAGUGGGCUUGUCUUAUGUUUUAGAAGUGGAUCUUUGGCUUGUCAAGAGUCAGUCUUUUGACUGUUACAUUGAAGAUCUGUAUUGACAAAAACUUUUCUAUGGAUUUAACCAAAUGAAACUACGUGAAUAACCUCAGAAGCCAUUCUCAUUGGAUACAAAAUGUUAUUAGCACUGGUCCAAAGUGAUCAAUUAUAUCAAGGUAAGCCAGAUGGUUGGACGACAUUUCCCAUCAUCCCUGGCCUUUGGCCAUGAUGGUUGGGGCUGAUUGGACUUGUGGUUGAACAACAUCUAGAGAAUAUCGACUUCCGGGGUGGCGCCAUCGGCAAUGGCAGACUCCCUCUGAUCUGGAAGGUCUAGCUCCGCGCGAAACGGGUCUUUUCCGCUACGGCGAAGCGGGGACCCUUUCAAAAAUCACAGGCGGAUGAAGCCUGUGACCAUGGGACUCGGCGGGCACCCUUAGCGCCCCCCCAACCCACAAAGGAACCCACUAUCGGGCUCCGAAGCGAAGAGGGGGAAGUGGCGCGGUGCUGAGAGUCAACUGCUAUUUCCGUGGAGCGAAGCCGCAUAGCUGUUGCUGGAGAGCGCUGCCUUUUUCCUGGGACAAUUUGGCUUCUAAAAUAAUCACCCGUGAGUACUUAAAUUUCGGACAAUUGGACUUUAAAUAAGGACUUGCGAGCAGAAAGGAAUUGGACUUAAAAAUUUACUUCAAUUUGGCACUGAAACGGGAAGGUCUAAACAGGAAGUCAGCCUUCCGUUUCUUUGUAGACAGAAUAAAGCAAAGACAACGUAAACUAAAGCUCAGAAAAUAGCUUCUAAAAGAUUAACUUUCAUCAUUUUAAAAUUGUUGAACCCCCCUUCGGAAGCAGGAGAAGAAGGGGGAUCUUAUUCGGACUGUUUAAACCUGCAGAAGUGAGUUUAAAGUAAAGUAACUUUCCACCGUCCUGAUCCUGGAGCGGGGUGUCAGGACUGACGUUUGAAGCUCAUUGACCAGAGACAAACAUUUUUGACAGAUAGCUAAAAGAAGAGAAACAUAGUGAUUCCACUGUUCCCUUUCGCAUUUUAAAGGAACAAAUAUUGACAAAAUAUCUCAAAAAGGAAACUUUGUUGCUAGAUUUGUACGUAAAAGAAAGAACAAAUAGAAGUUUUCCCCCUAGAGGGAGACUGUGAAACUGUAACUAAUUCCAGGAGCUUGCAGCUGUUACAGAUUACAAUCGUGGGAAUAGACCUGUGACCUUGUAGGACAAUGUAUUCAGAAGCUCUGUGGUGUGCUCUCUGUAAAACAAAUGCCCUACUGGAACAGUUAAAUGAGAAGACGGAUUUGAUGACUAAUGCGGUCAGAAUUUUUGAACAGGCAGUGGGAAACUAUAUGGAGCCCACCCAGGAAUCAAAUCAGGAGUGUGCCCUGACAGAACAGAUGAGAGAAGAGGAUGUUGCUGAAUUUUGGGCGCCAGAGAUGGAGGGAGCUGUGGCCCUGCAGGAACAUGAGCUUUUGGACUUGACAAAUGAACUUGGAAAAAGCCAGAUUUGGAAAGAUAAAGUUUGGACUGGUUUGGAAAUGGGGGGUUGGAUAGACCCCCCUAUGCAGGGAUGUUUGGACUUUCCAAGUCUGGCAAUGGGCCGUGAGAUGUUUGGGGCUGUGGGGGCUCUUAAUUUUGGAGGGAUUCUGAAACAUGUUUUCAAAUACCACAUGGAGUUUAGUCUGGUCUUUGGAAAAGGGGCUGAUUUGUUGAAAAGGGUCAAAAACAUUACCAAGCUGGAGUUCCCACGAGUGAAAGGAGAAUAUGAAGAAGAGCCGCGGAAGGGACAUGGAAGAGACUUAAGGGCCUCGGAUAUAAGGUUACCAGGUUAAUGCGCUAGAUCAAUGGGAUAAAAAGGACUGACAAAACCCGGGACCAGGAGGAAAGGACGCUGGAUGAAGAUUGGAUUGUUUUUAUUUCUUUUUAUUAUUAUUAGGAUUGUUUUAUAAAAUUGAUGAAUGUUAGAAAAAUGUUGGAACGAAAUUACUUGGCUCUAGCAAAAAUGUUUAAAGAAUUAGGUAAGAAUAUUAUGGUUAUGAGAAGUUGGUAAAAAUAAGAUUUAAGUUUUAAGUUUUAAGGUUUUCUAUAAGAUAAGAUGAAAAUAGAUUAAGGUAAUGUAAUGACAGAAUAUUAUGAAAUAUGGAAAGGAUUUGCUGCGAUAAUUAAUAACUAGGAUACAAAAAAAGGGAGGAGGAGGAGGUCAAAGAAAGAAGGUAAUGAAAGUUGAGGAUUCGAGAAUGAUGGAUUUGUUUUUAUCUGUUUGUGGUAUAUUUUUGUUUUUUGAAUCUGCAUUGUUUGAUGUGGUUUGUUUUCUCUUUGUUUUCUCUUUUUUCUUUUUCUGCUGUGUUUUUUUCUGUAAUUUUAAAAUUUUUCAAUAAAUAUCAUUAAAAAAUAAAAUAAACUAAAGGCAGUUGGUUUACAAAACAACAACAACAACAUCUAGAGAAUAUCAUGUUGAUGGCCCUUUAUUGUUUUUGCAGCACUCACCAGUCAAGUAUCCAGGGAGGGGGGGAGAAUUAUUUGUAUCUCUGGGAAGUUGAUAAGAUAUUUGAAGAUAUGAUAUAUGAAAUGGAAUGUUUAUUAAGUAAUUCAGUUGAUUUCUUUGCUUCUUAUUUCCCAGCAACCACUACAGCUGUAGAAUUCAUUUGACAGUUGUUGAAUUUCUGCUGUAACAAAAAUCUUGGCCCAAGCACCUUGGCGACAAUCCAGUGAUGGACUUAAGACCAAUGAAAUUAGAAAGCUUAAGUGUGCUUUUCUUUCAGUUGAGUUUUGGCUUUCGUUGUAAAAGAAAGGUCACAGAUGGGACAUAGUUGAAAGGGACACACACACAAAACCACACUGUACUUGCCUUGUCAAAUAUAGUACAAGCAGUUGCAGUCUUCAAAUAAUUUGGUUCUCUACUAAAAUCUGCUCACUAACAGGAUUUAUGAAGUCCAAUACAUCUGGGCAGUCAUGAAGAAAACCAUGUAAAUUAUUAUAUUAGUUGACUCAAAAUUUCCAAGCCAACCUUAGAAUCAUAUCCCAUAUUUAUGAACAUUAUUUGAUAUAUAGCAAGCAAUAACAAUGGGUUGUAGGCUUGUUAAUAUGUUGUGAGGGUUUGAUAAAACCAAUCCCUUAGUUUGCUUUGCAGACUGGUGCUGUGUAGCUGUAAACAAUAAAUAUUUGGGAAGGUAACUAAACACAUCCUUAGUGUUAAGUUGUGGGUUGACAUAGCAGACAACACAGCGAUUUCUCCAAAGCAGCUCUUUAUUUUGUAAGCUGGAACAGAACUAACUGAGGAGCUCAGUCAGCCUGCUUAUAUAGAGCUACAGAACAAUUGUAACUGUUGCAACGUUCUAAAACUAUCCAAUCACUGAACGUCACUUUUCGAUCCUUCAUUUGCAUACAAAACUAUCCAAUCACUGAACGUCACUUUUCGAUCCUUCAUUUGCAUAACUAUCUACAGUAUCGCCCUGCUGGCCCAGGGUGAGAACUUCAGUACAUAACACUUAGCUUGAAUGAAUCCAAAACAUUAGACUGCUGAGACUACAGUCCUUAAUGCUUUACUAGAAAGUAAAGUCCAUUGAACAUAGUGGAACUUGCUUAUAAAUAAAUUUAUCUGAGACCAAGCAGCUGAUGAUUGACAAAAAUCCUAAGCACAGGAAGUUGCUACACACACACUCAGCAUGUGUGUACCCCAGCUGAGCUGGGAUGGGGUAGUUAUGGUGGUGUAGCUCAGCUGAGCUGAUAACCAGCCAGCUGAGCCAGAGAUUCACUGAAUCCAAAAUUGCUUAUCCCUGUGAUUCUGCUCAGAAUUGCUCCCUGAGGCUCCUAUAUGUAAUUUUCAAAAUAUUUUCUGGCAAACUUCAUCUAAGAUACAGUGAAGUACUUGAAUUUAAGAUGAUUUAGUCCCACUGAGAUCAAUGGAACUAAAUCCAUCUUCUUUUACUUGACUAGAUUAUAGCCUGAUCUGUAAUUCUGAAUCGUAAGUAUGUAUGCUGUUUUAUGUAGGAGGCUAGGAGCUAUUGGAAUACAAAUGGGUUUAUUAACCACCUUUUCCAUCUCUGACUCCUUUUUGAAUUUUCUUUUAAAAGUCAACUUUUCCUUUCAUUAAUUGAUUAAUUUCCUUAACUGAAUCUCACUCAAUUUGGUACUUAAUUUGAUGCGACAAAUUCAUUGUUUUUCCUAAAAUUUCUGCAUGGUGAAUAUUCUCUUGAAUAUAUUCCCAUAUAACAGGAGCUGUGUUUGAAUGCCUUUUGGAUAAUAAUUGAGGACAUGCGGAGUCUCAGAUUUCACCAUACAAGGGCAUGUUUUUGUGCACAGAAAAAGUACCUUUGGUGAUACUUUUAGACCAGAUCAUCCUAAGAACAGGUUUCAAACAUUCUGCAAUAUUGAACUCUUACAAAGCCUUUUUUCGAUGUUUAUUUAUAACUUUCAUUUAUUUAUUUAGAACUACUGUGAUCAACAUUACACUGGAAGGUCCCAGGGCAGUGAUGCGUUCAUAUUAAAAUGAAAUAAUGGUACAUUAAAGAGAACAUUACAUUGUCAAAAUAAUUCAUCAUAAACAUCACAAAGCAGGAAAACCAUCAAGCAGUAGCAAGGUUUAUCCUCCUUUUCCUGGUACCUUAGUUGGGAUUUACCCCACCUACUCAUAUUCUUUAAAUAAUACACCAUCACACUCAGAAUACUGGAAGUGUUUAAAAAAUAUCUCACAUACAAGAGCAUUUCUAUUAUUUAGUAUCCACAAUGCUCAGUCUGAAAGCUUUCUUAAAUUGGUUUUACAUUCUUCCACAUUUCAAAAAUCUGCACUUUAUUCUGCCAUUUUUUUCAUUUGAUGUCACAGUUAUUCAGAUGUCACAGCUACAGAUGGACUACUGUUUGAGGCACCUCCAGACCUUCUCCUUUUGUGUUCCUGAAAGAGGGUGUGUUAGCAUCACAUAUAACGUGAGUACUACUUAAAAAAAUACUUUUGCCUCACAAGUUCUUGGACACUUAACGGAUGGUCCGCAGGUCAUUCUUUAUCACCACGAGACCUAAUUCCCCAUAUGGUAGCCUUUUCAUGUCUCUCUAGUGGCAUUUCUGGG